GUACUAUAUAUAAUAUUUUAUUUACAAGAUUAUUUUUUUCUAGUUCAGAAUUGAGGGUCUUCCAGGGGGAGGGGGUUAGGGCGGAGGCACUUAGAAUUAUAUCAACCAGUUAUGACAGUUCUCAGUUAUAUAGAUGAGAUUCAUACUAAUUUCACAUAAAUUAUAGUUCAUAUAUAUAGUCUAUAUUUAUUUUUUUAAUGUUUUUAUAUCAUAUUGCGUCUAUCUAUACAAGCUAGGUAUAUAGUUUGUUUUUUUUUAUCAAGGAAUUCCUGCUCCUGACGGCGUUCGUUAGUGCAGUAAUACUCAAACCUCAUAACCAAGCCCUAAGUUUAUUAAACACUAUUUUGUCUCCAAUUGGCGAAGCUUCCACUUGAAAAAAUAGUGAAAUUCAUACAAUGGAAUUUGCAAUGGACCAUUUGCAUUAUAGACUAAAUUUUGAUCUAAACAAGUCUAGACAAAAAUUUCAUCACAGAAGAGCAUCACAAAAUUAGUAAUAUUCCAAAGUUUCGUUGCGAAAUGUUGUAAAAUGCGGAUAAUAUAGCCUUGCGAAGUUUGCCGUUUUUCAGUCAUUUUGUAUUACACACGGGAAAUUGACAGCCCCAAGAGGGUAUUGGGCUGUCAAUUUCCCCCGCGUAAUACAAAAUGACUGAAAAACGGCAAACUUCGCAAGGCAGUGUUCAUCCAAUCGGAGAAACAUGUUAUCCUAAAUGGACUCGAUUUAUUAGGCGAGUGAGUAAAUUGCAAAUUUUAAUAAUGAAAAUUUUUAAAAUGGUGCAUGUUUUCUAAAUCUGCUAAGAAAAGCUUCGUAACUGCUUAAAGACAUCUCUCCUCCCGAUCUCCUUUAAGAAACGCCAGCAACUCUGUAUAUCUGCUUUUAAGAGCAUCGUGGUAAUAUAGAUUUUAUCCGCUCACUCGUAUGUUUAUAUCCGUUGUCACGAAAUUAACGUUUUUAGAUAACUAACAUGCCCAGUUACCACUGUUCUUAUGAUGAAAAUGCUGCUUUCAGAAUUUAAUAUAACUACGAAUUACCUCAACAUUCACAUAUUCAAUUUUGCGCAAAACUAAAUGCUGUCCUUUAAUUCAUUUAGUUAUUUCAUGAGAAAUUUUUAAAUGGAUUUAGAUUUUUCCGUGCAUGUACCGUAUACGCACGUGUGAACAGCGCUUAACUGCAAAACAGCCUCAAAUAUAGAAUGGAUUGAAUGGAACAAAGAUAACCAAGCAUUUAAAUUAUAUGUGUGAGUGAAGGACCAUUCUCCAAUUAACCAAAAUUUUGAUCUCAACAAGUCUAGACAAAAUUCCACCAUAGCAUGAAAGAGCA
Molecule: non-coding RNA, 1318 nt
Organism: Paramuricea clavata
Lineage: Eukaryota; Metazoa; Cnidaria; Anthozoa; Malacalcyonacea; Plexauridae
Source: the annotation of a GenBank genome assembly